RNAcentral lists this ribosomal RNA (433 nucleotides) under uncultured bacterium. RNAcentral's name for it is "partial 16S ribosomal RNA". It matches the Rfam family "Bacterial small subunit ribosomal RNA", at positions 29 to 507 of the family's 1533-position model. The record is from RNAcentral.
AACGAACGCUGGCGGCAUGCCUAACACAUGCAAGUCGAACGAGACCUUCGGGUUCCGUUGCGCACGGGUGCGUAACGCCUGGGAACCUGCCCUUAGGUUCGGAAUAACUCCCUGAAAGGGGCGCCAAUACCGCAUAAUGUCUUCGGACCAAAGAUUUAUCGCCCCUGGAUGGGCCCGCGUUUGAUUAGCUAGUUGGUAGGGUAAAAGCCUAUCAAGGCGACGAUCCAUAGCUGGUCUGAGAGGAUGAUCAGCCACACUGGGACUGAGACACGGCCCAGACUCCUACGGGAGGCAGCAGUGGGGAAUAUUGGACAAUGGGCGAAAGCCUGAUCCAGCAAUGCCGCGUGAGUGAUGAAGGCCUUAGGGUUGUAAAGCUCUUUUACCCGGGAUGAUAAUGACAGUACCGGGAGAAUAAGCUCCGGCUAACUCCGUG